This 469-nucleotide ribosomal RNA is filed under the name Acinetobacter baumannii. RNAcentral's name for it is "partial 23S ribosomal RNA". It matches the Rfam family "Bacterial large subunit ribosomal RNA", at positions 697 to 1163 of the family's 2925-position model. Lineage: Bacteria; Pseudomonadati; Pseudomonadota; Gammaproteobacteria; Moraxellales; Moraxellaceae. The record is from RNAcentral.
AAGUUGCAGGGUAUAGACCCGAAACCCGGUGAUCUAGCCAUGGGCAGGUUGAAGGUUGGGUAACACUAACUGGAGGACCGAACCGACUAAUGUUGAAAAAUUAGCGGAUGACUUGUGGCUGGGGGUGAAAGGCCAAUCAAACCGGGAGAUAGCUGGUUCUCCCCGAAAGCUAUUUAGGUAGCGCCUCGUGAACUCAUCUUCGGGGGUAGAGCACUGUUUCGGCUAGGGGGUCAUCCCGACUUACCAAACCGAUGCAAACUACGAAUACCGAAGAAUGUUAUCACGGGAGACACACGGCGGGUGCUAACGUCCGUCGUGAAGAGGGAAACAACUCAGACCGCCAGCUAAGGUCCCAAAGUCAUGGUUAAGUGGGAAACGAUGUGGGAAGGCACAGACAGCCAGGAUGUUGGCUUAGAAGCAGCCAUCAUUUAAAGAAAGCGUAAUAGCUCACUGGUCGAGUCGGCCUGCG